GACGAACGCUGGCGGCGCGCCUAACACAUGCAAGUCGAACGAGAGAUGAGGAGCUUGCUCUUCAAAUCGAGUGGCGAACGGGUGAGUAACGCGUGAGGAACCUGCCUCAAAGAGGGGGACAACAGUUGGAAACGACUGCUAAUACCGCAUAAGCCCACGGCUCGGCAUCGAGCAGAGGGAAAAGGAGUGAUCCGCUUUGAGAUGGCCUCGCGUCCGAUUAGCUAGUUGGUGAGGUAACGGCCCACCAAGGCGACGAUCGGUAGCCGGACUGAGAGGUUGAACGGCCACAUUGGGACUGAGACACGGCCCAAACUCCUACGGGAGGCAGCAGUGGGGAAUAUUGCACAAUGGGGGAAACCCUGAUGCAGCGACGCCGCGUGAGUGAUGAAGUAUUUCGGUAUGUAAAGCUCUAUCAGCAGGGAAGAUAAUGACGGUACCUGACUAAGAAGCACCGGCUAAAUACGUGCCAGCAGCC
Molecule: ribosomal RNA, 475 nt
Filed under: uncultured bacterium
Lineage: Bacteria
Description: bacterial SSU rRNA
Rfam family: Bacterial small subunit ribosomal RNA
Source: RNAcentral